CUGGCAUAGUCACACAUUGAGCAUUUGAACGGCUUCUCGUGGGUGUGUUUGUAGCGGCGAUGCCGAACCAACUCUCCGCUGGUCACAAAGGCCAUGUCGCAGUCUGGGCACUUGUGAGGGCGAGUACCUGUGUGAGUGUUGAGGUGGUUCCUCAGUAACGUGACUGUCCGAAAAGCCCUGCCACAGAGAUGGCACUUGUGUGGUCUUUCAUCGGUGUGGCUUUUCAUGUGGCGGUCCAAGUUGGAACGGCGUGGACAAGUGUAACUGCACAGUUCACACUGGAAUGUCUUCUUUACACCUUUCUUUUUAAUUUUUGUUGGUUUAGGUGGUUUCAUGUUGCCCACCACCUUUUCUGCAUUGACCUCAGAUAAUAAACCCUCCUGCUGCUCCUCCUCGAAGUCAUACACAGAGACAUCCACGUCUUUGCCCUCCUCGGUGUAGCGAAGCUUACUCUUUUUGUUUUUCUUUGUUUUUUUGGCUGGUGGCUGAUAGUCUGGAUCUUUUUGCCAAUUGGGAUCUUCUUGUGGCUGAAGUUCCCCUUGUUCCAGUGUCUCCACCUCACCGUUAGCACCCACCUUCACGACCUGGAAGCCUUCUGGUAAAGGCAGGGUGUGACAGAUCAUGGGUUCUCCCUCCUGCAGGCCUCCUUUGGAAACCUCAUUUUCAUAAGCUCCCUGAAGUUCUUCCACAGAUGUGGUGGCAACGGGUACAGUCACUGGAACGGGUACUUGGACCAGCUGAAGCUCACCAAGGUUUAUAGGCUGCUCUUCCAUAUUAACAACCUGAAGCGUUAUGAUCUGCGUAUCAUCCACCGUAGCCUCCGUUUCCUGAGGCACGGCACCUUCCAUUACUUCAGUCUUCAUUUGAAGCAGAGUUGGAUCCAGCUGCUCCAUCAUCACCAUCUGCACACCGCUGUUGACAUCCUGCACCACCUCCCCUCCGUCUGCCUGGUUCGGUGCUAUAUGGCAAGCCUCGUCCUCCUGCCCUCCCUCGCGGCGUCUCUGAUAGGUUUUUCGCUCUUUCCCCUUUAUAAAAGUUUCGGAUUCCUCCACAAUGGCUUCAACUGCUUCACCUUCCAUUUCACCUUCCUGCGCCCGCGCCCCGCCGGGCUCGCUCUCAGCGCCGAGGCCCCGCCGCACGCCGCCCCGCAGCCGCCCCGGGCCCCGCGAAGCCGCCGCUCCCCUCGCGCCCCGCCGCGGCCGCCGCUAGCGCCCAGCACCAGCUCGCGGUUUAAUCGCUCCACAGUCGCUUCGGACACAAAAUGGCGGCGGGCGGGGCGGAGUGCGCCUGCGCGAGCGCGGCUGCCGCGGACCGCCGGCAGGAGCGGGG
This 1329-nucleotide long non-coding RNA is filed under the name Gallus gallus (chicken). Lineage: Eukaryota; Metazoa; Chordata; Aves; Galliformes; Phasianidae. The record is from RNAcentral.